RNAcentral lists this ribosomal RNA (253 nucleotides) under uncultured bacterium. RNAcentral's name for it is "partial 16S ribosomal RNA". It matches the Rfam family "Bacterial small subunit ribosomal RNA", at positions 524 to 776 of the family's 1533-position model. The record is from RNAcentral.
UACGUAGGGGGCUAGCGUUGUCCGGAAUCAUUGGGCGUAAAGCGCGCGUAGGCGGUCAGGAAAGUCCGGUGUGAAAGUCAUAGGCUCAACCUAUGGAUGCCGCUGGAAACUGCCUGACUUGAGUCCGGAAGGGGCGAGUGGAAUUCCUGGUGUAGCGGUGAAAUGCGCAGAUAUCGGGAAGAACACCCGUGGCGAAGGCGGCUCUCUGGGACGGUACUGACGCUGAGACGCGAAAGCGUGGGGAGCGAACAGG